AAAACAAUCCAUGGGUUCAAAGCAAAGAUAGCGUAAAACAUCCCUUAUCCAGUAAACUAAAAUCAUUACGUAGCAUAGAACAAAAUUCACUUUAAAAUCAUUCAUUGUUUAGGUUGGUUAAAACAAACACUAUAUGGCCUUCUCAAACUACAUACAAUCCAAACAUUUACAAAGUAACUUUAGAAAAUGUAUUAUCCACACACAUACCAGUUAUAGAUAUGAAAUAAGUGAACCUUUUAUUGGGUAUAGUUUAAGACAUACAUAUAUUUUUUCAAAAUAAUUAAUUUACCACACUAACUAUUACAAAAAGUUUUA
Molecule: long non-coding RNA, 315 nt
Filed under: Brassica napus (rape)
Lineage: Eukaryota; Viridiplantae; Streptophyta; Magnoliopsida; Brassicales; Brassicaceae
Description: long non-coding RNA (BNAP_LNC003994)
Source: RNAcentral